RNAcentral lists this long non-coding RNA (1366 nucleotides) under Gadus morhua (Atlantic cod). RNAcentral's name for it is "lncRNA (ENSGMOG00000031971.1)". The record is from RNAcentral. Lineage: Eukaryota; Metazoa; Chordata; Actinopteri; Gadiformes; Gadidae.
CGCCUGUGUCUAACUAUGUCAAUAGUUGUGGAGAUGCGGUACUGCUUAAUGCUCCACUCAAAAGAACGAGGCCUGUUUUAGGCUUGAGAGACCGGAGUGCCGGGGAUUCAUUCACCCACGUUGGCGAAUACGGCUUGGAGUAUGUAAUAUCAUGGGUCGAUGGCUGUGUUAUUUUGAAUGUUAAAGAUUGUGCUACAGAGUGGCGGUUGAACGUUCACGAAUGGAAUUUUUUCUUGGAGAAUUUAUGCCCCAUGCUAGACGGCGUCCGGGGUACAUGGCAGGCGGGAACCCAUGUAUUCCAAUGGACCUUUCAGUAUGAAUCGAGGAUUCAUCGCAUGGAUGCAAACUAUCAUACGAAGAGACCACAGGAGUUCAUUUUUUUCAGACGCUGUGUUGAUACAGACGAGCUACCACAGUGCUAUGAUAUGCAUUGCGUCGGUAGCUCUCCUCUACGCACCAGUGUUUUAGAAGCUGCUGAUUAUUUUGAUAAUGUCUUUUUCAUGCAGUGGGCUGAUUUGUCUGCACUACGUGGAAUUUUUGCAGAGAUUGAUUCUAUGGCUAAGACGAAUGAAGAACCAUGGAGCACAGCUGAUGAUGAAUGCCGAAUGUGCCUGUUUGAGUCGUCUGGGUUUGAUGAGGGGGUACAUGGUCAAUGAUGAACAUGUGCAAGGUGGGGGUGUGGCUAUGGAGACUGCUGAUUUAAAGGCUGUACAACCCGGACCCCACUGGCUUCAAGAGUAUGCCAUCUAUCUGAGCGGAUUGAAUCUGACCUUCCUACACGUCGGAGAGGACAGUGAGCUGGAGGUGGACACUGCUAUGAGAGACGACGGAUGGCCUGUAUCAAUACAGAUCCGUUUAAACCCUGCAUCGCUGGCUGUUCUGCGAUUUACCACGGGGCUCUGUGUGGUGGCCAUCAUCAACCAUCAGAAGCAAGCGGACUGCUGGGGAUGCCAGUGUGAUUGCCCAAGUCAAACCAAAGCCUGCUGGUGGGUGGCGUUUAUAAUGGGGGUGUUGUUUUCAUAUGCGUAUGAUGCGGAUAGCAAGUAUGUAUCAGAUAGACUAUCCGUUUUGAUGUAUGCUGCCAUAGAAAAUGAUACAUAUGUCCAGCAUAAUGCUUAUAUCAAAUGCACGUAUAAGGGUUGGAAUGAUCUGGUCAUGAAAUUCUUGUAUGAUAAACCUACUGAUCAAAUGUUAGCUGAAAUAUUUACCCAUUUCCCCGAUGGUGACUGUUUUACCAUCGGACAUGUCAUGUGUAUAUGUGCUUUUGUAUCGGAUGUCUUGAAGUUGAAUAAUGCCUCAAACGCCGAGGGUAUUAGAACUGCUAGAAUGAUGGCUUGUAAAAUGGUGCAGAAAAAUAAAACUGCCU